Nomia melanderi (Alkali bee) is the source of this 77-nucleotide small nucleolar RNA. RefSeq annotates it as small nucleolar RNA U43. NCBI's taxonomy places the organism in Eukaryota, Metazoa, Arthropoda, Insecta, Hymenoptera, Halictidae. The record is from RefSeq and is a predicted model, not a curated record.
AUGAUGAUACCACUAGUGUACAGUUUAUGGUUUUCAACUGAAUAAUCUUGCUGAAAAUCCUAGGGCGGUCUGAUUUC